UACGUAGGAGGCAAGCGUUGUCCGGAUUUAUUGGGCGUAAAGAGCGUGUGGGCGGCCAGGUAGGUCCGUUGUGAAAACUCGAGGCUCAACCUCGAGACGUCGGCGGAAACCCUCUGGCUAGAGUCCGGAAGAGGAGAGUGGAAUUCCUGGUGUAGCGGUGAAAUGCGCAGAUAUCAGGAAGAACACCCGUGGCGAAGGCGGCUCUCUGGGACGGUGCUGACGCUGAGACGCGAAAGCGUGGGGAGCAAACAGG
This 253-nucleotide ribosomal RNA is filed under the name uncultured prokaryote. RNAcentral describes it as "partial 16S ribosomal RNA". It matches the Rfam family "Bacterial small subunit ribosomal RNA", at positions 524 to 776 of the family's 1533-position model. The record is from RNAcentral.